UUACUAGAUAAACAGGGGAUCAACACCAAGUCGUAAUCGGUAUGUACGAUAUUUAUAGUUCUCCUGGCUUUUCAUACGGAUAGAUAAAGAACAAUAGACAUAGUUUUGUAAAAUGGCGCAUCUGUUAGUUCUUGUAGAGACAUGAUCCGUAUGAAACCUAAGACAAGUAGGCAAGUUACCUUCUCAAGUCUAAUCUUUUUUCAUACUUGUGGACGAGCAUGGGCGAUUGGAAUUAGCAGCUGUGCCUAAUCCAUAUCUGCGCUGGCCUAAGUUGUUCCGAAGCGCCAUCUCGCGGCUGGUGAGAGCUUUUCAAAAAACGACAAAAUCUAUCUAAACUCUCGCGGCGGAAAGGGUAGGCCGAAAGGAGCUACCCAGACGGUAGUUUUCUUGGUGACGUUGAAGUUCCAGACACGAACCGGACGUCAGCUUCGUGGACUAAGCUUGUGCGCACAUCUGUUAAUGUCGCUUGGGUUAUAAAAGGUACCAUUGUUCUUUUGGUUCGGAACACGGUUCGUCUGGUCGAUGGACGUCCAGCGAUGGCGUGGUCAGCUUCGGCUGGUAGCCGCUUGCGUUGCUGUGGCAGCCUCAGUCUCAUAUGGCAUUCAUCUGUGGUUUGACAAGGGACGUCAGGCUGCUCUUAAAUAUCUGCUCGAUAUGCAUCAACGACUAAGGCGCGAACUAGAUGAACUUCGGGGCCAAGUUGACCAAAUGGGUACUAUUCCUAGUCAGGGAGCUUUUGAUGGGACGAGCGGUCAGGCAUCGCGCAAUGUAAAUAAUACGAGACCUGGCCCAACAAAGAUUAUUCGCGGGUCGUGUUGCGAGGACGAUGGCACGACGCAGGCCGAUGGUGUAAAGAGUGAUGACGAAGAGUUCUUUGAAUUCUCUGAAGUAUAAAAUGACUUCGCUUCAGGUCGUUGCUCAAGGUUGGUUGAGGGGUGCGGGCGCAAGACGAAUGUAGAGCUGGUCGAAAGGAUAGAUUAAAGCUGUGAAUGAAAAAAUAGACCGUUGUCCGAAGCUCAUGCGAAUUGUAUACAAGAAGACGUACUCCUACGAGACGAGAGUUCUAUAUAGUUGCCUAAGCGUAUCUUCUAACAACAUUCAGUUUUAAUGAAGAAUAAUCAACAGGUUGAUGAUUUGAUAUGUUGCAGUGGUUAUGAAGUUGAAUGUUGAAGUGGUUAUAUCCUUAUAGAAUUUAGCUAGCUGGUGAGCAUGUUUCUGCGACAUGACAUCGCACACUAUGACCCUUGCCUCAAACGUCGCCUGCUGUACAAGAAAGCUUAGAAACGCUGCAAGAAAACCUUUGUAUAAACUUUGUAGUAGCGUUGUAGUAUACUAACGGACCGAGUCGAAGUCAAUCCUUGUAGCCUAGAAGGAUGGUGUAUAGACUGCGAGCCGAAGUCUUGGCAGAUUGUAGCUUCGUAUCUAAUUAUUAACAACUAUAGUGACUAUUUUUUUCAAUAUUAUCUUAGGUAGCGAUCGCCGCGAUCUGCAUGAAGUUUUGAUCAUUACAGAAAUAACUAUUUUUUAAAAAUAAAUAUGGCUGAAUGCACCUCUAGCAGUACUGAAUUAAGUAGGCUCAUGGCUUAGAAGCUGACAGUAACAUUGACUUGGUCAAGCUCUAUGGAUUAAAUUUUUCAAUUUAACCAACGAGCAGAAAAUUGAUGAUGGGAGCAAAAACGUAUUUUUUACUCAUUUUAUAUAUUUUCUUUACAUAAAUCUCUCGAUUACUGCCCGUAUAUUUACUUGCUACUUAAUUGCUCUUACGAUUGGCGGUAUUUCUGGCUUUCCUCGGUAUGUAUCUGUACCAUGUUUCCUCCUAUAUGGCAUUGAAAAGCACUCUUUCCUCUGGGGGACAGUUGUAAUUUUGUUGUGCAAUGAGCAAAAUCGAUAUCGGGUUCAGGCUCCAGACAAAGAUUUCCUGCGGGAAAUUAUGUAAAUCUUCAACAGCUACUUCUGUAUCGCCUAUGGCCAGGUCAAAGAGUCGUCGUAAUAGGACCCUUCUAAGGGUAAGUUCAAGGAUGCAACCCUAUACCGGCACCACUGCCCUGUGGGCCAUCAGAGGCCGAUUAGGACCUUGGCUAGCGAGCAAGUGGUUAACUGGCCGAAGAUACAGGCUACAAACACUAUAAUAACGUAGGCAUCUUGAAUCUAUAUAGAUAGCUAUAGAAAUUAAGCAAAAAAACAAGCCGUAAUUUUUGGUUCGAUACUCUUAAUGUAUUUAAAACGAAGUCUUGUUUCAUUCCCUACGAAUAAUGUGUUUGUUGUUAAUUACUGAAUUACCGAUGUCAAUAAAAUUAUUAUGUCCAUCAUUAUUAUAAUUGUUAAUAUUUUUUUUAUCAUUCUAUGUACAACAAUUAGAAUUAUCGAAAUAGCUCUGUUCGUUCGGCUAGACUCGUCGCCAACGAUUAUUAAGUGAGUUUAUAACAUUUCGAAAAAAUUCAAAGUCACUUAACUUGCGUCCAGCCUUUUGUCUUCCGUCUUCGUUUCUUCAGUACGAUUCUGGCCGCUCGUUUCUUCUCCGUACUGUGUGUGUGUGUGUUUUUAUUACUUCUAUUACACAAAUGUGAAAUUGAUAGUAAGAAGUACUUGGACAUAUAGGUCUAUCCGCGCCGCGUUCCGCCGUAAGUUGCGUUUUUACCAUUAACUGUUAAUUAGUAUUGUUAUUAUUUUUGUUAAUGCUUUGACUAUUCCAUACUUUUAUAACGGUUGCAAUUGCGUUAAGCUCUGCUUGUUUCGUUCAUUCAGCCUCCGCUGAACGAACGAAACAAGACCCUGCGUUACCGAAUAAGCGAUCCAUUUUCGCGCGAAAGUAUUCAGCGCGUAUAUUUGUUUACGAGCGACGUUCGCUUUUAGCUAUGCGUUACAGUCGUACGUCCGACGUCGACGAUUCGUUCUUACAAACCGCUAGUAGACGAUACUUGCAAUUUACCCUUUACUCCGCCAUGACUUUAGGCACGAAAACGUAUCCGGGUCCAUAAAAUGUCUGCUUAUGUUUGUUCACGUCGUCCAGUGGGCCCGAAUGAUGGCUCAGGUAAAACACGACAGAAUCCUCAUCGUAGGUCUGUUGUAUGCUCGACCCGAAAAAAACUAGGUCCGCUAGCUUUCGCAUUCUUGAAGAACUUUACUCCAAGAAAUUAUAGAUUUGUUAAUUUGAGUUGAAUCUGCAUCAUGUCAAGGUUAAAGGUAUUUGUAGUAUUUUUUCGUCUCCUGGAAGAGCAUGAAUAGUCUUCGAAGAAAAUCGCUGAUUCUAUUUGCCAAAAUAUAGUUGCGUUUUGCUUUGUUUUUUUAGUCCGAAACGUGUGUUUAUAAAUCUUCACUUCAUCCCACGAAACGGUUCAAAUCUAGGAAAUAUUGUUUAAAAAUGAGGUUUGUAAUGGCAGUCCCCAUGGCAGGUCCACCAAACUGCUUUCCUUCAUUCCGCAGAAUAACCAAGAUAUGCUUUUUCUUUAGCUUCACUCGCCUUCUUUGUAGCCUAGUAUCUGAUAUACUACACGUAGUAUUCUAUAAAUAUACAUAUACAUCUGCUGGAAGGCUAUGUAUUUAUAUGCAGAGCAGAUAAAAUGGCUAUUUUUUCG
Varroa destructor (honeybee mite) is the source of this 3575-nucleotide non-coding RNA. NCBI's taxonomy places the organism in Eukaryota, Metazoa, Arthropoda, Arachnida, Mesostigmata, Varroidae. The record is from RefSeq and is a predicted model, not a curated record.